RNAcentral lists this ribosomal RNA (459 nucleotides) under uncultured bacterium. RNAcentral describes it as "partial 16S ribosomal RNA". It matches the Rfam family "Bacterial small subunit ribosomal RNA", at positions 338 to 795 of the family's 1533-position model. The record is from RNAcentral.
CCUACGGGAGGCUGCAGUGAGGAAUAUUUGUCAAUGGUCGGAAGCCUGAACCCGCCAAGUCGCGUGCAGGAUGAAGGUCCUGCGGGUUGUAAACUUCUUUUAUCCGGGAACAACGCGCCUUACGUGUAGGGCUUUGCAUGUACCUUAAGAAUAAGCAUCGGCUAAUUCCGUGCCAGCAGCCGCGGUAAUACGGAAGAUCCGGUCGUUAGCCGGAUUUAUUGGGUUUAAAGGGAGCGUAGGCGGUAGGUUAAGUCAGCGGUCAAAGGUCGGUGAUCAACACCGGCCUGCCGUUGAAACUGGUAGUCUUGAGUGAGAGAGAAGUAUGCGGAAUGCGUGGUGUAGCGGUGAAAUGCAUAGAUAUCGCGCAGAACUCCGAGUGCGAAGGCAGCAUACCGGCGCUAAACUGACGCUGAGGCACGAAAGCGUGGGGAUCGAACAGGAUUAGAUACCCCUGUAGUC